RNAcentral lists this ribosomal RNA (273 nucleotides) under uncultured bacterium. RNAcentral describes it as "partial 16S ribosomal RNA". It matches the Rfam family "Bacterial small subunit ribosomal RNA", at positions 524 to 796 of the family's 1533-position model. The record is from RNAcentral.
UACGUAGGUGGCAAGCGUUGUCCGGAAUUACUGGGUGUAAAGGGCGUGUAGGCGGGUAACUAAGUCAGGUGUGAAAUUCCGAGGCUCAACCUCGGCGCUGCACCUGAAACUGGUUAUCUUGAGUGCUGGAGAGGAAAGCGGAAUUCCUAGUGUAGCGGUGAAAUGCGUAGAUAUUAGGAGGAACACCAGUGGCGAAGGCGGCUUUCUGGACAGUAACUGACGCUGAGGCGCGAAAGCGUGGGGAGCAAACAGGAUUAGAAACCCUCGUAGUCC